Molecule: long non-coding RNA, 498 nt
Filed under: Mus pahari (shrew mouse)
Lineage: Eukaryota; Metazoa; Chordata; Mammalia; Rodentia; Muridae
Description: lncRNA (MGP_PahariEiJ_G0005124.1)
Source: RNAcentral
GGGUAGAGAUGUAGCAUCAAACAUUCACGGAUGUCCAGGGAGCGCGGGCACACAGGCUGCUGGCCAGAGGUACUAGGAAGGUACAGGCGGGAGCCCGACGAGGACGCACCUUCCCCUGUCUUGGAAAGACUGGAGCCUAUGAACACAAUACACUAGUCAUGUUGGAGAUAACAGCCUGACCUGAGUGUGGCUGCAAAAUGAAGCCAUGUUUGGCUUUCCUAAGACAUCAGGCUCACAGCUCUGCUGGACUCUUUAAACCCCGAGGUCAUGUGAAAAGAAGUUUGUCCUGGGUCUGCCUGUCUCUUGUUGGCUGUCCACAAGAUGGAGAAGGCGGAAGCAACCUGAGGCGUCCUCUUUGUCUGUAAGGAUAGAGGGUCCAUUGUGGAAGGGAGAGAUACAGGCACUAUAUAGGCGAGGCCCUACCGGCCUGCAUCUCUUAUCUCCAGAAUUCUUUUACAGAAAAGAAAUAAAUAAAUAAACUUUUAUCUGGCUUAAGCC